GAUGAAGAACGUAGCGAAAUGCGAUAAGUAAUGUGAAUUGCAGAAUUCAGUGAAUCAUCGAAUCUUUGAACGCACCUUGCACCCUUUGGCAUUCUGAAGGGUAUGCUCGUUUGAGUGCCAUUGUACUCUCACACUCCCGAUCUUUGCAUUGGGAGCAGUGGACUUGGGUUUGCUGCUUCACCGUCGCUUACCUCAAAUAGGUUAGUGCAACUCUUGGUUGGACAUAGUACGGCGUGAUAAGUGUUCUUCGCCGGUGCCUCGCAAAGAGGGUGGCCGAUCGGGAUGUUGUGCUCCAAACCGUCUUCGGACAAUCUCUGACGACUUGACCUCAAAUCGAGUAAGACUACCCGCUGAACUUAAGCAUAUCAAUAAGCGGAGGA
This 380-nucleotide unclassified non-coding RNA is filed under the name soil metagenome. RNAcentral describes it as "partial contains 5.8S ribosomal RNA, internal transcribed spacer 2, and large subunit ribosomal RNA". The stretch from base 1 to 120 matches the Rfam family "5.8S ribosomal RNA", at positions 35 to 154 of the family's 154-position model. The record is from RNAcentral.